AAACCAGCACCUCAAGUGGUCAGGAGGAUUAUUGGGCCUAAAGCAUCCGUAGCCUGUUCUGUAAGUUUUCGGUUAAAUCCAUUAGCUCAACUAAUGGGCUGCCGAAAAUACUGUAGAACUAGGGAGUGGGAGAGGUAGACGGUAUUCGGUAGGAAGGGGUAAAAUCCUUUGAUCUAUUGAGGACCACCUGUGGCGAAGGCGGUCUACCAGAACACGUUCGACGGUGAGGGAUGAAAGCUGGGGGAGCAAACCGGAUUAGAAACCCCGGUAGUCC
This 274-nucleotide ribosomal RNA is filed under the name uncultured bacterium. RNAcentral's name for it is "partial 16S ribosomal RNA". It matches the Rfam family "Archaeal small subunit ribosomal RNA", at positions 473 to 747 of the family's 1478-position model. The record is from RNAcentral.